CUGGGACUUGAGAUUCCAGGUACCAACUUGCUCUUCAGAUGACACGUGUCCUCACGCUAGUCGUAGCAUUACAAACAAACAAUGUAUAGGCAAAAUUAACAUCACACCAAACAUAAGAAUAUACUACAUAAUAAUGAUCUACGCAUUUGUACGAGACUAACGCAACUUGAACGGAUCAAAUCAGAGUUAAAACGAAGAAGUUAUGAAUUUCUAAUGAUUUUAUGUGUUUUGUACAAGAUUAAAUUAGGAAUUAGAUUUUAAAGUGGUUUUCAUGUCAAAUAAGAGGUACUAUGUGAUAAAAAAUAAUAUUAUAUAAUUAUAGAAAUUGGAAUGGGUCAAUUUGAAGUUCAUAUGAAUUUUAUAUGAAUUAAACAAACUCUAGCCAUUAAAAAAAUAGAUUUCUAAUUCCUUUUCCUGGAUUUCCUAUUCACUGGACUGGGCGCAUGAGUACAUAAAAAUCCAGGGGCUAAACCAUAAAUAUUUCCCAGACUCAGAGUACUACACAAUGGAUCGCGGGUUGAUUAUCUACUUCUUCAAGGGCUUAUUUGUAAACUUGGCUCAGCGAAGAGGUACGGUGUGAUCUGGGCCAUCGGAUCAUCUUUCAAGCGCCCAGAUUAGAUCGGAUUACUUAUGAACCCGCACACAUCCUAAGCCACUGGAUCUAAUAUCAAGGGUUAUGAUUUAAAGAAUCGCAAUCCAAUCGAAUCCACACGACCAACAUCCAACGGUCCUACUUAACCUGAGCGAAGAGAUACUCGAUCGUCUGAUCGUAGCCGUCAAUCAAGAGAUCAACGCACAAGGUUGUUUCACCUCCGCCCAAGCACCCCAGCGCAGACCGAGCGGCGGUGCAGUAGCAACCGCGGCGGCGGCCAUGGCCAGCGAAUAGCCAAAUCCCGCCAGCGCGCACGAAACUCAACUCCGACUGGUUCCAAACCUAGAACACACGGUAAGGAAAGGGUAGGAAGGGUUCUCACCGCGUGACACACAACAGGAUGACCGUGCGACGAAGCAGGGUGGAAUCGCGGCAUGAGCUCGCAUCGAUGCGCAAUCCCGGGUCACCAGGUCGUCAAUCCCACAAGGCAAAGCCGCAAUCCAUCCCCGGAGCUGCGCAGUGAAGCUUCGACGACAGAGCCCAAGCGCAGCAGCACCCGACUUGUCUUCUCCCUUGCCUGUCUUCAACUCGUGUCGGCGACAUGGAGAGGGAGCAGAGAUGGGGCGCGCCGAGCGGAGGCUACUGGGGAGGGAGCUUG
RNAcentral lists this long non-coding RNA (1250 nucleotides) under Zea mays. RNAcentral describes it as "long non-coding RNA (ZMAY_LNC001439)". Lineage: Eukaryota; Viridiplantae; Streptophyta; Magnoliopsida; Poales; Poaceae. The record is from RNAcentral.